CAGUAGCCGCGGUAAUACGAGGGGGGCAAGCGUUGUUCGGAAUUAUUGGGCGUAAAGGGUGCGUAGGCGGCUUGACAAGUCUUGUGUGAAAUCUAUGGGCUCAACCCAUAGUCUGCACGGGAAACUGUCGGGCUUGAGAAUGGGAGAGGUGAGUGGAAUUUCCGGUGUAGCGGUGAAAUGCGUAGAUAUCGGAAGGAACACCUGUGGCGAAAGCGGCUCACUGGACCAUUUCUGACGCUGAUGCACGAAAGCUAGGGGAGCAAACAGGAUUAGAUACCCGAGUAGUCCCUGUCUCUUAUAU
RNAcentral lists this ribosomal RNA (301 nucleotides) under uncultured bacterium. Its description in RNAcentral is "partial 16S ribosomal RNA". It matches the Rfam family "Bacterial small subunit ribosomal RNA", at positions 509 to 809 of the family's 1533-position model. The record is from RNAcentral.